AUUGAACGCUGGCGGCAGGCCUAACACAUGCAAGUCGAGCGGAGGAAGGGAGCUUGCUCCUGGAUUCAGCGGCGGACGGGUGAGUAAUGCCUAGGAAUCUGCCUGGUAGUGGGGGAUAACGUCCGGAAACGGGCGCUAAUACCGCAUACGUCCUGAGGGAGAAAGUGGGGGACCUUCGGACCUCACGCUAUCAGAUGAGCCUAGGUCGGAUUAGCUAGUUGGUGGGGUAAAGGCCUACCAAGGCAACGAUCCGUAACUGGUCUGAGGGGAUGAUCAGUCACACUGGAACUGUGAAACGGUCCAAACUCCUACGGGAGGCAGCGGUGCGGAAUAUUGGACUAUGGGCCAAAGCGUGAACCAGCCAUGCCGCGUGGGUGAAGAAGGUCUUCAGAUUGUAAAGUACUUUAAGUUUGGAGGAAGGGCAGUAAGUUAAUACCUUGCUGUUUUGACGGUACCAACAGAGUAAGCACCGGCUAACUACGUG
RNAcentral lists this ribosomal RNA (484 nucleotides) under uncultured bacterium. RNAcentral's name for it is "partial 16S ribosomal RNA". It matches the Rfam family "Bacterial small subunit ribosomal RNA", at positions 30 to 507 of the family's 1533-position model. The record is from RNAcentral.